GAUGAAGAACGCAGCGAAAUGCGAUAAGUAAUGUGAAUUGCAGAAUUCAGUGAACCAUCGAAUCUUUGAACGCACAUCGCGCCCUCUGGUAUUCCGGGGGGCAUGCCUGUCCGAGCGUCAUUGCUGCCCUCAAGCACGGCUUGUGUGUUGGGCCCCGUCCUCCGAUCCCGGGGGACGGGCCCGAAAGGCAGCGGCGGCACCGCGUCCGGUCCUCGAGCGUAUGGGGCUUUGUCACCCGCUCUGUAGGCCCGGCCGGCGCUUGCCGAUCAACCCAAAUUUUUAUCCAGGUUGACCUCGGAUCAGGUAGGGAUACCCGCUGAACUUAAGCAUAUCAAUAAGCGGAGGA
This 346-nucleotide unclassified non-coding RNA is filed under the name soil metagenome. RNAcentral describes it as "partial contains 5.8S ribosomal RNA, internal transcribed spacer 2, and large subunit ribosomal RNA". The stretch from base 1 to 120 matches the Rfam family "5.8S ribosomal RNA", at positions 35 to 154 of the family's 154-position model. The record is from RNAcentral.